GGGUAGCAGGUUUGUUGGAGGCCCACUGGCACAGCAAAUUUCGCACUAUUUUUUUUUCUCCCGUUCACCUAGCGUGAGGCGUGCGCUCUCGUGGCGACUUUGGACACCGCCGGCGCCUACCCUCUGUCUCGUGGCGACGAGCCGCCGCCGCCGACCUAAGCGAGGUCUCUGUGGGACUCUUUGCUGGUGACGAGCAACCAUCAGGUCCGCCCCUGAUGAGCAGGCCCAACACUCGCAACAAGAGCAAGAGGCCACGAUCUGAUGAAUCCAUUAAUCCGUCUGCGGCUGUUUUCAAGAAGAUACACUCCGCCGGUGAUAUCUCGAAAGACGAUAUCUGCCAGCUUUACAUGGUGUGGAAACCGCCUUGCCAUGGCUGCCAUGGCAAUACUAAGGAUUCCCCAAAUUGUUUCUGUGGGUUGAUCCCUGCUGCCAAUGGGGUUCGGAAGACUGGCCUCUGGCAGAAAAUGCAGGAAAUGGUUCGUGGUCUCGGCCCCAAUCCAUCCAAGGACCUCCGCGAUUCCACUGAUACGCCUGCUGGAUUGACUAACCUGGGUGCAACCUGUUAUGCAAAUAGCAUACUUCAGUGCCUUUACAUGAACAUUGCAUUCCGCUCAGGCAUUUUCUCUUUGGAGCUGGACGUUUUGGAGAAGCAUCCUGUUCUGGAUCAGCUAGCACGGUUGUUUGCACAGCUACACUCAAGCAAAAUGUUAUUCAUUGAUUCAGCGCCUUUUAUUAAGACACUGGAAUUAGACAAUGGUGUCCAGCAGGACAGCCAUGAAUUUCUCACUUUGUUUCUGUCUCUGCUCGAGCAAUCGUUAAGUCAUUCCAAGGUUCCUGGAGCCAGAACAAUCGUGCAAAAUCUGUUUUGCGGCAGCGUAUCACAUGUAACAAGGUGCUCGUCAUGUGGAAAGGAAUCUGCAGCAUCUUCAAAAAUGGAGGACUUUUAUGAGCUGGAAUUGAAUAUCAAAGGUUUAAAUAAUUUGGAAGAAAGUCUGAAUGAGUACUUUAGCGAGGAAGCACUGGAUGGGGAGAAUCAAUACUUUUGUGAGUCAUGUCAAAAAAGGGUAGAUGCCACUCGUUGUAUAAAACUUCGAUCACUUCCUCCAGUUGUCAAUUUUCAACUGAAGCGUUAUGUAUUCCUCCCGAAGACAACAACAAAGAAAAAAAUUUCUUCAACAUUCAGUUUCCCAGGACAACUUGAUUUGGGAAAACGAUUAUCAGAGCCUUCAUCUAGUUGCACUUAUGCCUUGUCUGCUAUUUUAAUUCACAAGGGUACUGGUGCUAACAGUGGACACUAUGUGGCACAUAUAAAAGAUGAAAGCAAUGGGCAAUGGUGGGAGUUUGAUGAUGAGACUGUAUCCAAACUUGGUUUGCAUCCUUUUGGUGAAAAACCAGGAAAGGCAUCAAACAAAGAUGAUCAGAAGUCCCAAAAUACCUCCACAGAAGGUUCUGUCACAAACAAUAAUAAUAAUGGCCACCAUGAGGCAGCGCCUAGUUCUACCAUGGGGGAGAUGUUUUCAUCUACCGAUGCUUAUAUGCUGAUGUACAAAUGUAUCACUAAGGAUGUCAAUCCCACUGAAAGCAAUAAAAUUGUGGAGAUAAAUAAUGAUUUACUUCCACACCAUCUUCUAGAUGAAAUUAAUGAACUAAAUGCAUCAUAUACAAAAUUGUGUGUGGAAUACCAAAGCAAGAAGGACAGCCAUUUGGCAUAUAUAACAGAGAGGCGUCAAGAAGUAAAAUCUGUUCUGACAGAAGCACCUGCAGGCCCAGGAGAUGAUUCAUAUUUUUGGAUCUCAACAGACUGGCUUCGUCAGUGGGCAGAUAAUAUUACUCCCCCCUCUUCCAUCGACAAUGGUGCAAUUCAAUGUGAACAUGGAAAGGUUCCAGCAUCUAAAGUCACAUCAAUGAAGCGGUUAUCAUCUGUAGCUUGGCAGAAAUUACAUUCGAAAUAUGGAGGGGGACCUAUAUUGAACAGUGACGAUUUUUGCAUGGAGUGUCUUAAAGACGGGGCAAAAAGUGCAGUAUCUGCUGAUGUUUACCGUGAACGAAGAGCAUCAUUGAAAACACUCGCAGAAGCAGCACUUGCUGGUAAUUGUCCAGAUGGUCCUUCUUACUUUAUCUCAAAGACAUGGUUGACUCAUUGGCUGCGUAGAAAAAAUGCUGAUAUCCCUUCUGAUGGGGAUAACGGACCAACAAGUGCUUUAAGAUGUUGCCAUGGGGAUUUUCUGCCAGAACAUGCUCCAGGGGCAAAACGGGUAUCUGUACCAGAGAUCCUCUGGCUAUUUCUCUACCAAACAGUCCAUGAGAAGAAGGCUGAUGAUACAGUGACUUUUCCAUCAGAUAGUCAUCCAUGUGAAACCUGCAGCCGAGAAUUGUCUGAUGUUGCUUCUGUGGAGGUUAAUCUUAGAGCAGUGAAACUCAAGCAACGACAGAACCAUGAAAAGUUGAUAUCUGGGAAAAGCUUUGCGCUUCAUCCUGGUCAAAAAUAUUAUUUGGUUCCUUCAUCUUGGUUGUCAGAAUGGAGAGCUUAUAUUACAGCAACUGGGAAAAACAUUUCUUCAUUACCAGAACCUCAAACUCUGGAAGCUGUUGCCAGGUCACUUAUAUGUGAAAAGCAUUCAAGAUUGCUGCAAAGGCCUUUGGAUCUUGUUUUAAAGCGUGGGAGCAUCAUUCAGAAAGCAUCAAAUACUGAUGGGUUAACCAUAAUCCCAGAGUAUGAUUGGAAAUUAUUCUCUGAAGAGUGGAGUGCUACACCUGGAAAAGGUAUAUCUGCUGAAAUUGCUUUUAGCAAGAGUUCUCAAGACAAACUGCAUGGAUCAUCUGAAGCAGUGCCGAUUACGGAUGGAAAUCUAGGCCAGUCUCUUGAUGACACAAACGAUGAUUUGGGAGCCAGAGAGCCUUAUAUCAGAACUGAUCCCGAGGUUUGUGAAGAAUGUAUUGGCGAAAGGGAGAGCUGUGCAUUGGUGGAAAAACUCAACUAUCAAAAUGAAGAUAUCCACGUUUACUUUGUCCAUGGAAAAGAAGCACCAAAGUCUAUUAAAGAAGCAUCUAAAGCUGUUACUGUACCAGAUCGUCGGACAUCGAAGCGUUCCCGGAGAACAAGCUCUGGAAACUCAAUCAGUUUGAAAGUCUCUGGCUCUACAUCUGUCUAUCAGUUGAAACUGAUGAUAUGGGAAUCUUUAGGGGUAUGCACAAGGGGAAUCACUAAAAUUAUUGUUAAGGAGAACCAAAUGCUUCACAAAGGCUCUGUUGAGAUUGAAGAUGAUUUUGCUACUCUUGCUGAUAAGAGUAUUUUUCCUGGGGAUUUUCUCUGGGUCAGAGACUCUGAAAUAUAUGAGAACCGUGACAUUGCAGUGAUCGUUUAUGUGUUUCAGAUGAGAUUUCAGAACAAAAGGAUGAUAUGCUACAGGCUGAGGAAGGCUUUCGAGGAACUCUGUUGACAUCAACUGUCUCAGCUCAGCUUUGUCAGGAUAUAGCUUUUAGUGAAUGAGUUCCCACAUCAGAUAUGUAGCUGCAUAUCUGCUGACUUAAGCUGGUGAAGCCUGCUGGGAGAAGGCCGAUUGAUUCAUGAUUAUGGUGGUUCUGGCAGCCGCCGAGGUGGAAAUUUUUGUCGACCCCUUAUCUCCAUGCUCAGGGGGUGUUUGGUUUUUAGGGACUAAUUUUUAGUCCCUACAUUUUAUUCCAUUUUAGUUCCAAAAUUGCUAAAUAUGGAAACUAAAACUCUAUUUUAAUUUCUAUAUUUGACAAUUUAUAUACUAAAAUGGAAUAAAAUGAAGGGACUAAACAUUAGUCCCUUGAAACCAAACACCCCCUCAGUCAAGCUAAGGUUGUUUAGCGAGGAAAAUGUAUGGGGUACCUACUGUAGUUAAGGCCCCGUUUGGUUUGAGGGACUAAAGAUUAGUCCCUCCAUUUUAGUUCCAUUUAGUUCCUAGAUUGCCAAACGGUAGGACUAAAAAUGAGACUAAACUGUUUUAGUCCCUAGUCUCUCAAAAUGUGGCUAAAAAGACUAAACCAUAUUAAUUCCACAUUUGCCCAUCAUUUAGUUCAAUUGUACUAAUAGCACGAGAAUGUUAAAGACAAUUUUAGUCUUCUUAUGAGUCAUUUUGUAUAUUCUUACUAAUUUUAGUCUAUAGAACCAAAUAUGUUAGGGACUAAACUUUAGUCCCCUAAUUAAACUUUAGUCCCUAGACUAAAGAAACCAAACAGUGCCCAAGUCUUUCCCGAUGUAAGUAUAUGAUUACUAGUAUUAGUAGGAAGUUGCUGUUUUCGGCCAUGCUGUUGCCUUGCCUGCAUAGUCUUUUUUUAUCUAUUUUGGUUGUGCGGGCUGAGUGACAUGCCCUGUACCUGGGUCACCUGGUGCCUGGUGGCAUGGCUAGCAGAGGCGUGUUGAGAGGCUGGAGGAGCCUUAAUGCCGAUGAGUUUGUUAUGUUAGAUGAGGUCGCAGGGCCUUUUGACCCCUGUUGUAUGUUCCUGUACCCUGUUGUUUUAGGGUUUACUCCUUUGUUCGGUGCGUGUGUAGGCCCAUUUGGCUGAUCAUAAUAUUGCCGCCUAGGACGAUUGGAUGACAAUGUCGAAUUCUGGUCACUGAAUUUGGGGGGUAAAUAUUGACUUUGGAAAUGGAGGAUGCCCGGCUCGCAAGCUGUACAAUCUUCGGCACCGAUACGCUGUUACUCGUUCUGCAGUGACGGCUCUUCAUCAGAAAUGUGGUUGUUAUAGCCAUAACACAAAGCAAUGUUGUAUCCAUAUCCAUGAUGAGAAUAAUGAUGAAUUUCUACUCA
Molecule: RNA transcript, 4778 nt
Organism: Zea mays
Lineage: Eukaryota; Viridiplantae; Streptophyta; Magnoliopsida; Poales; Poaceae
Gene name: UBP26
Exons: 15
Source: RefSeq, marked validated